AUCAUCGGCAUUCUGGGUCUUGCGGCUUCUUCCAAUGCUCUCUCCGCCUGCAUCACACAGGCCAACAGCAACGAUUCGGUUCAACACGAUGUGUGCCCUUCAACUUCAAGCUCGUCGCUGUUGCUGAGGAGUGACCGGGGCUUCAGUGACCAGUUCUUUGACUUCAUCGAUGUGACACUGCGUGAAAUUCUGAGGAAUGGGACUGGGCCGCUGCCACCACUGGAUCCACUCGAGAUCAGCAAUCUGAGCCUGACGCUAGGAUCGGAAAGUGAAGCCUAUCAACCGCUAAUUCUGAACCUGAAAGACAUUGUCAUCGAAAAUAUAUUGGACUAUGUAGUGUUCAAUGCCUCUUACGUACCUGUUGGAUUCAGAUUAAUUGUAGCUAUAGACUUUCCUGAUAUCACAUUAAAUGCAAAAUACG
Molecule: long non-coding RNA, 421 nt
Organism: Schistocerca serialis cubense
Lineage: Eukaryota; Metazoa; Arthropoda; Insecta; Orthoptera; Acrididae
Exons: 3
Source: RefSeq, a predicted model, not a curated record